CGGAGUGUGGCGCAGCGGAAGCGCGCUCGGCUGGGGGCCGAGAGGCCGCAGGUUCGAUCCCUGUCACUCCGA
RNAcentral lists this transfer RNA (72 nucleotides) under Sandaracinaceae bacterium. RNAcentral's name for it is "tRNA-Pro". It matches the Rfam family "tRNA". Rfam says of the family: Transfer RNA (tRNA) molecules are approximately 80 nucleotides in length. Their secondary structure includes four short double-helical elements and three loops (D, anti-codon, and T loops). Lineage: Bacteria; Pseudomonadati; Myxococcota; Polyangiales; Sandaracinaceae. The record is from RNAcentral.